GAGGCCUUAGCUUAAUGAAAGUAUCUGUUUUGCAUGCAGAAGAUGUGGGGUAGUAACCCGUAGGCCUUA
Molecule: transfer RNA, 69 nt
Filed under: Trachinocephalus myops (snakefish)
Lineage: Eukaryota; Metazoa; Chordata; Actinopteri; Aulopiformes; Synodontidae
Description: tRNA-Ala
Rfam family: tRNA
About the family: Transfer RNA (tRNA) molecules are approximately 80 nucleotides in length. Their secondary structure includes four short double-helical elements and three loops (D, anti-codon, and T loops).
Source: RNAcentral